UACGUAGGGGGCAAGCGUUGUCCGGAAUCAUUGGGCGUAAAGCGCGCGUAGGCGGCUCGAUCAGUCUGCUGUAAAAGUCAAAGGCUCAACCUUUGAAUGCCGGUGGAUACUGUCGGGCUAGAGUCCGGAAGAGGCGAGUGGAAUUCCUGGUGUAGCGGUGGAAUGCGCGGAUAUCAGGAGGAACACCAACGGCGAAGGCAGCUCGCUGGGACGGUACUGACGCUAAGGCGCGAAAGCGUGGGGAGCGAACAGG
RNAcentral lists this ribosomal RNA (253 nucleotides) under uncultured bacterium. RNAcentral describes it as "partial 16S ribosomal RNA". It matches the Rfam family "Bacterial small subunit ribosomal RNA", at positions 524 to 776 of the family's 1533-position model. The record is from RNAcentral.